GAUGAACGCUGGCGGCGUGCCUAAUACAUGCAAGUCGAGCGAACAGAUGAGGAGCUUGCUCCUCUGACGUUAGCGGCGGACGGGUGAGUAACACGUGGAUAACCUACCUAUAAGACUGGGAUAACUUCGGGAAACCGGAGCUAAUACCGGAUAAUAUAUUGAACCGCAUGGUUCAAUAGUGAAAGACGGUUUUGCUGUCACUUAUAGAUGGAUCCGCGCCGCAUUAGCUAGUUGGUAAGGUAACGGCUUACCAAGGCAACGAUGCGUAGCCGACCUGAGAGGGUGAACCGACACCCCGGAAGUGAGACACGGUCCAGACCCCCACGAGGGGCCAGAAUGGGAAAUCUGCCGACAGGGGCAAAAGGAUGGCGGGGCAACCGCGCGUGAGUGAAGAAGGUCUUGGGAUGGUAAAACUCUUUUAGUAGGGAAAAAAAAAUGUGUAAAGAACUAUGCAAGUUUUGACGGUACCAAAACAAAAAACCACCGAUAACGACG
RNAcentral lists this ribosomal RNA (495 nucleotides) under uncultured bacterium. RNAcentral's name for it is "partial 16S ribosomal RNA". It matches the Rfam family "Bacterial small subunit ribosomal RNA", at positions 28 to 505 of the family's 1533-position model. The record is from RNAcentral.